This 1856-nucleotide ribosomal RNA is filed under the name Anelpistina negreai. RNAcentral's name for it is "SSU rRNA". It matches the Rfam family "Eukaryotic small subunit ribosomal RNA". Lineage: Eukaryota; Metazoa; Arthropoda; Insecta; Zygentoma; Nicoletiidae. The record is from RNAcentral.
UUUGAUUUUCCGGUCUAUACCAGUGAUCAGCGAUGUCAUUGUCGAUCAGUACAAGCCUAAGUAAGGUGAAACCGCAAACAGCUCAUUACAUCAGUCGUGGUUCCUUGGAUCAUGGCCGCGCCACACGGAUAACUGUGGUAAUUCUAGAGCUAAUACGUGCACCGAGACUCCCGAACGGGUCCUGUUGGGUUCUCCCUUCAGGGUGCUUGUGAGGGAGGCUUUUAUUAGAUCGGAACACCAACAUUUACCCUUGGUGAUUCUGAAUAACAUUGGCGGAUCGCACGGCCUCCGAGCCGGCGACGCAUCCUUCAAGCGACUGCCUUAUCAAACUUUCGACGGUACGGUCUCGGCCUACCGUGGUGAUAACGGGUGACGGGGAAUCAGGGUUCGAUUCCGGAGAGGGAGCCUGAGAAACGGCUACCACAUCUAAGGAAGGCAGCAGGCACGCAAAUUACCCACUCCCGGCACGGGGAGGUAGUGACGAAAAAUAACGAUGCGGGACUCAUCCGAGGCCCCGUGAUCGGAAUGAGCCGACUUCAACACAGUCGAGCGAGGAACAAUUGGAGGGCAAGUCUGGUGCCAGCAGCCGCGGUAAUUCCAGCUCCAAUAGCGUACACUAAACUUGUUGCGGUUAAAAAGCUCGUAGUUGGAUCUGUGUCUGCUGGCGGUCGGUUCGCCUUUCCCGGGCGUGACACUGGCCUGCCAGCGGACGUUCUUUGGCCGGUUUCAACCUCCCGCCCGGGUGCUCUUCACCGGGUGCCCGUGGCGGGCCGGCGAGUUUACUUUGAACAAAUCGGAGUGCUUCGAGCAGGCGGUUGCCGCCCGAACGCCUCGUGCAUGGAAUAAUGGAAAAGGACCUCGGUUCCUAUUUUCCGUUGGUCGUUCCGAACCUGAGGUAAUGAUUAACAGGGACGGACGUGGGCAUUCGUAUUGCGGCGUUAGAGGUGAAAUUCUUGGAUCGUCGCAAGACGGACUGAAGCGAAAGCGUCUGCCAAGGACGCUCUCAUUAAUCAAGAACGAAAGUCAGAGGUUCGAAGGCGAUUAGAUACCGCCCUAGUUUUGACCUUAAACGAUGCCAGCCAGCGAUCCGCCGAAGUUGCAAACCGAUGACUCGGCGGGAAGCUCCCGGUAAACCCAGGGAGUCGGGUUCCGGGGGAAGUAUGGUUGCAAAGCUGAAACUUAAAGGAAUUGACGGAAGGGCACCACCAGGAGUGGAGCCUGCGGCUUAAUUUGACUCAACACGGGAAAACUCACCAGGCCCGGACACUGGAAGGAUUGACAGAUCGAGAGCUCUUUCUUGAUUCAGUGGGUGGUGGUGCAUGGCCGUUCUUAGUUGGUGGAGCGAUUUGUCUGGUUAAUUCCGAUAACGAACGAGACUCCAGCCUGCUAACUAGUAUAGGGAAGCCCUUCAUGGACUUCCACUACAUACUUCUUCUUAGAGGGACAGGCUGCUCCCAGCAGCACGAGACGGAGCAAUAACAGGUCUGUGAUGCCCUUAGAUGUUCUGGGCCGCACGCGUGCUACACUGGUGGAAUCAGCGUGUCGUCCCUGACCGAGAGGUACGGGUAACCAGCUGAACCUCGACCGUGUUUGGGAUCGGGGCUUGCAAUUAUUCCCCGUGAACGAGGAAUUCCUAGUAGGCGCGAGUCAUAAGCUCGCGUCGAUUACGUCCCUGCCCUUUGUACACACCGCCCGUCGCUACUACCGAUUGAAUGAUUUAGUGAGGGCUUUGGACUGGCGACCGGCGAUUCAUCUUCCGGCCCACCCGCAAGGGAGGUGUCCGGUGGUCGCCGACUCUUCGGAAAGAUGUCCGAACUUGAUCAUUUAGAGGAAGUAAAAGUCGUAACAAGGUUUCC